RNAcentral lists this unclassified non-coding RNA (2011 nucleotides) under Polistes fuscatus (common paper wasp). RNAcentral describes it as "bAG domain-containing protein Samui-like, transcript variant X1". The record is from RNAcentral. Lineage: Eukaryota; Metazoa; Arthropoda; Insecta; Hymenoptera; Vespidae.
AAAUAAAAAAUAAAAAUAAAAAUAAAUUAAAGAAAAUGGAUUCGCCCGUCAUCGUGGAUUCAGCAUCCAAAUUCGGACAAGGGAUCCCUUGAUGCGCCGACGCUAAUAAUAAACCUCGGAAAGAAAGAAAGAGUGAGAGAGAAAAAGAGAAUCUUUUCUUAGAGAAAGAGAGAGGGAGAGAGAGAGAGAAAGAGAGCCGACCAACUCUGCCGGUCCAAUCGAGGUCACAAUAGCACCAUCAUGUAUUAUAUGUGUUCUUUCUCACAAAAGAAGGUGCUAGAAACGUUUAGACUAUCGCGCUAUGUUUCCUUCCUUUGAACAUUCGUCUUCUCUUUGGUUCGAUCAAUUUCUUCUUCUCGGGCAUCGUCGAUCGGUACCAGGAUCGUUCGUACAAUUGCCGUAACCGCCGAAAACUUGACGAAAAAAAUAUGGCGAUUAUGAGGCAAUGAAUUUAAUAUCAAGGCGUCAAAUUAUAUUAUUACACCUAAUAGUUUGAAUAUGUAUUUAUAUUUGAUAUGGUUGCAUAGAAAAACAUCGAAACUCAAUAGAGAAGUCAUGUUUGAAUUCUUUGCAUUACGCAAUGUUACAUAAUGAUUGUAAUUACAAGAGAACGAGUGUCAUGCAUCCGUGCAACGAAUAGAUAGACGAUAAGUUCUUUGAUCAAUUACUAUCAUUCUAUCGUAGAAAAUUCUUCAGAAUAUUAUCAAUAUAUUUAAUCAUUCUUCAAAGAGUAAUUUAAGCAAAUCAAAUUGUUUUUAGAAAUUGUGGAUAAGCUUCGAAGGAAAAAAGAUGUCUCUUCCUUUUUUUUUUCUUUCUUUCUUUCUUAUUUCUCGAGGUUAAAUCAAAUUGUUGUUCAAGGACGGCCACCUAGUUUUCUAGUUAGAAUAAUCAUUAUGCCAAAAGAGAGAUGACAUUCACCCAGUUUUACGUGUUUGCGUGACGAGACUAUUUUUGUGCCUUAUUUUCCCUUUUUCCUUUUUUCUCUUUCCUGUAAUUUAAUUUUUGUACUUUUUUGGGUUUUUUUUUUUUAUUCGAGAAACGUGAACAUAAACGUAAACGUAAAACAAGAAACUCUCAAUACCGAGUUAAACGAUAAAUUCUGAUUAAUCUCGAAUAGGUUUCUUUUUUUCCUCGAAAGAAUAUAUACAUGUUCAAUGUCCAGUGGAAGACGCGAGGAUUAUCGUAUAAGUGGUUAUUGCAUUCUUCCUACACACGUUUUCAGUGACGUCAUUAUAGUAUAGACAAACAGUUCGACAGAAGUUACAGUGAAAUCAUUUAGUCGCUUAUAAGGCAAGGAAUGCGAGUAGUGUGUAUUGUCGCUGAUUCUGGGUGCAAACUGAACAUUUAUUCGUCCGCAUAAUCGAAACGUUCGGUUUAUUAAUUUUGUUUACCUCUCUUACCGUUUAUUACUACCGAUUUGAUUUUAAAAUCUAUUGAAACAAAUAUAUUAAACAUUUGAUUAAGACCAACAAAAAAUUGGAUUUUUAAAAAUAUAAUUUAAAAUAUUUUAUUCUAUCAAUUUUGUUAAUUUUUCUUUCAAGUUCAAGGAUAAUGUGUACAGGGAAAGAGUAAAAAUUUUAGCAAAUGCAUAUAUUUCACGAUCGAAAAUGUUUCACGACUAUCUCCACAAUUUUCCGAGACCUUCGCGGUUAAUUUCGAAAUUAGGUAAAUUCCACGAGAUUUUCGUCGACACGGAUCAUAUAAAAGCUUCGACGUUAUAUUUAGUGUUGAGUCACAAGCAGUAUAUUAUCAGCUCAAAACUGCAUUCUCUUCCUUCUAAUAUACAAUUAGUUUUAAUCAUUUUUGUUGCUAAUUCAUCGAAAUGGUUUCAUGAAAAAUAAAACAACAAAAUUUGUAAAGUUGGCAAGAUUGGGUUUGGGCAAAAUUUGAUCCAUUAUUUUAAGUACUCUUAUUUCUUCGAUUACGUUUUAAUAGGUUAACUAAUGGGAUUUACGACUAGAGCCUACAUUUUUCUAUAUAACAUAGGUGUCAUGUCAUGUUAAAAGAUUGU